Long non-coding RNA from Ixodes scapularis (black-legged tick), 288 nucleotides. RefSeq lists it as uncharacterized. Lineage: Eukaryota; Metazoa; Arthropoda; Arachnida; Ixodida; Ixodidae. The record is from RefSeq and is a predicted model, not a curated record. The transcript has 3 exons.
AGUUCGCUCUCAUUUGAACUUUCAGCACCAUCUCUUCGGUUAUCAACUCCUUGGCGGCUAUCUGUUAUGUGGAUGUGGUGUCACAGAAUUUCAUAAUGAGUGAAACUCAAGCAAUGCAUGUAACCAAAGGUCUCGCCCUUGUCAUUGGCGCUGUGAUGACAGCGUACAGUAUUCUUAUUCCCUACAUGGGCUCUGCGUCCAGGAUCAUAAUGAUGGUUGCCAGCACCACCACGGGUCCCUUCGUAGCACUGUUCCUCCUGGCCUUCAUAUUCCCUUUCGUCAAUAGCA